CUUAAUUUACCAGCAUUUAACUUGAAAUUAAUGUCUUCUGAUGUUGGUGGCCAGCUGGGUAGUUACCACCCACCCCCACCCAGCAACAAGACCUGUAGAAUUAGGAGGAAAACAUGGCAACAUCCCUGUUCCUUUACUAGUUGCAAUCAGGACACAGCUCUCAAAAGGGCUUCAUUUUAAUAUAUCAUGUUUGAUGUAAAUUAUUAGAAAUUUCAGCAGGAAAUAUUCUCUCAGCUUUAGAAGACUCCACUCCACUUUAUAGAAGCACUGCAAGAGUUGACACUGUGGAAUGAGGAGCGUUAGAAGUGUGGACGUUCCCAAGCCAUCUACUGAGAAGCUAGCAAGGCAGAACCUGAAAGAAAGGUGAGAAGAAGAGAAAGACAGAGAGGAAGAAUGGAUGUGACUGAUGGGAUUCAUUCGCUGGCCUGAUUUCUCAGCUUGGUCCCACAUUCUUGCCGUCUCUCGGGGUGGGUACAGGUAGCACUGCGACUGAUAACAUCAAGGCUUUCCAACCUGAAGCUCACAGGUCAG
This is a long non-coding RNA of Astyanax mexicanus (Mexican tetra), 531 nucleotides long. RefSeq lists it as uncharacterized. NCBI's taxonomy places the organism in Eukaryota, Metazoa, Chordata, Actinopteri, Characiformes, Acestrorhamphidae. The transcript has 3 exons. The record is from RefSeq and is a predicted model, not a curated record.